UAGGGGGCAAGCGUUAUCCGGAUUUACUGGGUGUAAAGGGAGCGCAGACGGCAAGGCACGCCUGGAGUGACAGGCGGGGGCCCAACCCCCGGACUGCUCUGGGAACUGUCUGGCUGGAGUGCAGGAGGGGUAAGCGGAAUUCCUGGUGUAGCGGUGAAAUGCGUAGAUAUCAGGAGGAACACCGGUGGCGAAGGCGGCUUACUGGACUGCAACUGACGUUGAGGCUCGAAAGCGUGGGGAGCAA
This 244-nucleotide ribosomal RNA is filed under the name uncultured bacterium. RNAcentral's name for it is "partial 16S ribosomal RNA". It matches the Rfam family "Bacterial small subunit ribosomal RNA", at positions 528 to 771 of the family's 1533-position model. The record is from RNAcentral.